CACGUAGUUGGCCGGUCCUUCUUCUGCAGGUACCGUCACUCUCGCUUCGUCCCUGCUGAAAGAGGUUUACAACCCGAAGGCCGUCAUCCCUCACGCGGCGUUGCUGGAUCAGGCUUUCGCCCAUUGUCCAAUAUUCCCCACCGCUGCCUCCCGUAGGAGUCUGGGCCGUGUCUCAGUCCCAGUGUGGCCGGUCACCCUCUCAGGCCGGCUACCCGUCAAUGCCUUGGUGAGCCAUUACCCUCACCAACAAGCUGAUAGGCCGCGAGCUCAUCCUUCUCCGCCGGAGCUUUCCAACCCCCAACAUGCGAAAGGGGUUCAUAUUCGGCAUUAGCCAUCGUUUCCAAUGGUUAUUCCAAAGAGAAGGGCAGAUUGCUCACGUGUUACUCACCCGUUCGCCGCUCGUGUACCCCGAAGGGCCUUACCGCUCGACUUGCAUGUGUUAAGCACGCCGCCAGCGUUCGUCCUGUGCCAGGACUCAAAACCGUUCCUA
Molecule: ribosomal RNA, 490 nt
Filed under: uncultured Aeromicrobium sp.
Lineage: Bacteria; Bacillati; Actinomycetota; Actinomycetes; Propionibacteriales; Nocardioidaceae
Description: partial 16S ribosomal RNA
Source: RNAcentral